This 1705-nucleotide ribosomal RNA is filed under the name Triticum aestivum (bread wheat). Its description in RNAcentral is "partial small subunit ribosomal RNA". The record is from RNAcentral. Lineage: Eukaryota; Viridiplantae; Streptophyta; Magnoliopsida; Poales; Poaceae.
CACUCCUCUCUCAACCGGUCAAUCCCCACGACCUCUCUCCCCCUAAGCGCAUCUUCCUCCACGCCCGACCACCUCCCUCCAUGCCACAGCCACAGCCACCUCCCACGCUGCCCCCGCCCCAGAUCGCCGCCGACGUGGCCCCACCUUCCUACCAUCCCCAGCCAACUCCCUUCCCUGCCUCUAAACAACACCGGCCGUCCACCUCCCCUGGCGCGUCGAUCCGCCUCCAUCCAUCACGGUACAUCACCGCCAUGGCUAGAUCCGCGAGAUCCGCUGCGCCACGCCUCCACCGGCCUAGCCUCGCGCUGGCGCCUCCACCGAGUCAAAUCCCACGCUGGAGCCCCCCAACCUUCUUCUCCGCCGACGCACCUCGGUCGGCAGCGAAUCAUCCCCUGCGACACGGCGCGGCCCCGUCCCAGACCGGCAGCGAAUCAUCCCAGCUCUCCUUAUCGGCAUCGUCCUGGGCCCUGCCGCGUCGAUCUCUGGCCGGGUCCAUGCAUCCCGCGGCUGAAGGUCCCCGCCGGAUCUGGACCCUUCUCGUCCAACGACGACAACAAAUUCUCCGGCCGGCCCCAGAGGAUUCCAACCGGCGAAGGGUCCCUGCUCGCACGCCCCUCGAGACCCCUGCAGUCCAGAACUCCCUGGCCACGCAACCUAGGAAGGAUCCUCGCGCAGCAUUCCCAGAGCUGUGGGUUGGAUCGAGGGCGUGGACACGACCUGCUGGGUCUGAUGCGGGAGGGUGUGGUAGACUACCGAUCUGCUACACAACCCGGCAGGAGGCUCCUGGUUAACAUUCUGACAGCGCUGCUCAGGUUGUGAUACUCACUGCUGCUGCUGAUGUGGUUCUUUGAGGCGGAUGUUGGCUGGGUGCAAUGCGGACAAACGUCGCCAGCCCAGGAAGCACUGGAUGGGUUUUGACAAUGUUCAGGGCAUGGAUGAUGCCAAGCAGAAGCUUGUCAAGGAAGGGGGCACAACACCAUGGAGGGGUUGGGAGGGUGGGUGGGUACUCAGUAGUACAUAGUUACCCAACUAUAGCUCACAAGAUGUCGGACAAAAAGGCAACCACAAACGAAUGAGAAUGUAGCUAAAGAAGGCCAGAGAAAGGAGCACCUGUAGUUAAAUUGCUCUCAUAGCGGUUCGUCAUGAAUCUCUUCUCUUUUGGGCGGGAUUACUUGGUGCGAGCAGAGAUACUUGGAGAGUGAUGCAACCAACGGACGGUUCUGCUUAGUGACGAAGCUGAUCACCUCCCAGCUGGCAUCCUUUAGCUUAACAAUGAAUGGUUUCUCUCACAUAGAUUUGAAAUAUGUGUUCUCACAGUAACAAAAUAUCCUAUUUUUUAUUCUAAUGUCUUGUUUCUUAUGCAGAAGGUACGAUCGAUAGGCCCGGAUUGGUGAGGAUCAAUUACCCAAACAUACAUGGACACCCCAAAGGCGCCUGCACUACUGGACCUCCUUUUCUUUCUUUUUUGUAAACUCGGGAGCUUCUAAGUUGCACAUGACUGAUGCAUAAGUCGCACAAAAGUGUCCAUAGAGUUGCCUGUCCGAACCAUUUUUGUGUUGCUGUACAUUUGCCCUCAUCUUUCUACAUGUACAUGUAACUCUCUUUGUUUUCCCUUUUCCUAACUCUCUUUGUUGCCUCUGAUGUACACAAAACUCGCUUAAAUACACACCGGAGUUGCUUACCAGUAGCAACUCCUUUGAUCACC